GAAAUACCACAAUUAAAUAAAACCAUCAAGUGCAAUAAUGGAUCUAUACAGAAUAAAAUUGUGCUUGAUGUGUUUGGCUAUUUUAAGUAUAGCAAGUAUUAAUGUAGAGGCAAGAGCUUCCAUUGGUCUCGAAUCAAAAACUUCAGUUUCUUUAAAUAUAAGGGAUUCUUUCAAGAAUUUCGGAAGUCAUUUAUCGGAAUAUCGUGUCAAGAAACGAAUUGCUCGAGAACAAGCAAAUGAAUAUACUCGUGGCUGUUCAUACAUCACAAGAUGCAGAAACGAUCAUGGUCGUUAAAUAGCUAUUGCUUAUAUUUAUUGAAGAUCUUUGUCAUAUAUUUUCAAAUUUGCUGAUAUCUCCAUAUGUAAUUUGGAUGCAUCAUGCAUCUAUUUAUUCUACAUUAAUAUUUCACAGCGUGUUGCACGUGAAUACUUAUUAUAUAAUAUAUAAUUUUAUAUUUUUAAUUAUACAUCUACAUUAUAUAAACGUGGAAAUAAUGAGAUUUCUUAUAUUACCCUUAAUGAAAUUUUAAUAUCCUACAAUAGCCUUAGUCAUAGCCAAUUAGAAAAUUAAAUUUUAUUUUUUAAAUAUUUGAUUCUAUUUAGAUUAUAAUUUAAAAUAUUUUAUUAACCCUAAACCUUAUAUUUUAAAUGUUUUUUUUUUUUGAAUAUUCGGGAAAGGGAUUCGAAUACGGAUCUAUUGCCGAGUUGUAUAUACACUUAUCACUAUGCUAUGCCUUGGUGUGCCAGGCUUAACGCUUUUCUUCUCUUCAUUUUAUCAUGGAACAAGUUGUUAGGUCAAAAGGAAAACGAAG
Molecule: long non-coding RNA, 812 nt
Filed under: Jatropha curcas
Lineage: Eukaryota; Viridiplantae; Streptophyta; Magnoliopsida; Malpighiales; Euphorbiaceae
Description: long non-coding RNA (JCUR_LNC000155)
Source: RNAcentral